UACGUAGGGUGCAAGCGUUGUCCGGAAUUAUUGGGCGUAAAGAGCUCGUAGGCGGUUUGUUGCGUCGGCUGUGAAAUCCCGAGGCUCAACCUCGGGUCUGCAGUCGAUACGAGCAAACUAGAGUGUUGCAGGGGAGACUGGAAUUCCUGGUGUAGCGGUGAAAUGCGCAGAUAUCAGGAGGAACACCAAUGGCGAAGGCAGCUCGCUGGAACGGUACUGACGCUGAGGCGCGAAAGCGUGGGGAGCGAACAGG
This 253-nucleotide ribosomal RNA is filed under the name uncultured bacterium. RNAcentral's name for it is "partial 16S ribosomal RNA". It matches the Rfam family "Bacterial small subunit ribosomal RNA", at positions 524 to 776 of the family's 1533-position model. The record is from RNAcentral.